RNAcentral lists this ribosomal RNA (172 nucleotides) under uncultured Aeromonas sp. Its description in RNAcentral is "partial 16S ribosomal RNA". It matches the Rfam family "Bacterial small subunit ribosomal RNA", at positions 383 to 547 of the family's 1533-position model. The record is from RNAcentral. Lineage: Bacteria; Pseudomonadati; Pseudomonadota; Gammaproteobacteria; Aeromonadales; Aeromonadaceae.
CUGAUGCAGCCAUGCCGCGUGUGUGAAGAAGGCCUUCGGGUUGUAAAGCACUUUCAGCGAGGAGGAAAGGUCGGUAGCUAAUAUCUGCUGGCUGUGACGUUACUCGCAGAAGAAGCACCGGCUAACUCCGUGCCAGCAGCCGCGGUAAUAAGCCUGAUCCAGCCAUGCCGCG